This 301-nucleotide ribosomal RNA is filed under the name uncultured bacterium. Its description in RNAcentral is "partial 16S ribosomal RNA". It matches the Rfam family "Bacterial small subunit ribosomal RNA", at positions 509 to 807 of the family's 1533-position model. The record is from RNAcentral.
CAGUAGCCACGGGAAUACGUAGGGUGCAAGCGUUGUCCGGAAUUAUUGGGCGUAAAGAGCUCGUAGGCGGUUUGUCGCGUCUGCUGUGAAAUCCCGAGGCUCAACCUCGGGCUUGCAGUGGGUACGGGCAGACUAGAGUGCGGUAGGGGAGAUUGGAAUUCCUGGUGUAGCGGUGGAAUGCGCAGAUAUCAGGAGGAACACCGAUGGCGAAGGCAGAUCUCUGGGCCGUAACUGACGCUGAGGAGCGAAAGCGUGGGGAGCGAACAGGAUUAGAUACCCCAGUAGUCCCUGUCUCUUAUAC